GAUGAACGCUGGCGGCGUGCUUAACACAUGCAAGUCGAACGAGAAAUGGAGACGGAAACCUUCGGGCGGAAGGCUUCAUUUCGAGUGGCGGACGGGUGAGUAACGCGUGGGUAACCUGCCUCAUACAGGGGGAUAACAGUUGGAAACGACUGUUAAUACCGCAUAAGACCACAGCACCGCAUGGUGCGGGGGUAAAAACUCCGGUGGUAUGAGAUGGACCCGCGUUCGAUUAGCCAGUUGGCGGGGUAACGGCCCACCAAAGCGACGAUCGAUAGCCGAUCUGAGAGGAUGACCGGCCACAUUGGGACUGAGACACGGCCCAAACUCCUACGGGAGGCAGCAGUGGGGAAUAUUGCACACUGGGGGAAACCCUGAUGCAGCGACGCCGCGUGAGUGAAGAAGUACUUCGGUAUGUAAAGCUCUAUCAGCAGGGCAGAAAAUGACGGUACCUGAGUAAGAAGCCCCGGCUAACUACGUG
RNAcentral lists this ribosomal RNA (478 nucleotides) under uncultured bacterium. RNAcentral's name for it is "partial 16S ribosomal RNA". It matches the Rfam family "Bacterial small subunit ribosomal RNA", at positions 28 to 507 of the family's 1533-position model. The record is from RNAcentral.